Molecule: ribosomal RNA, 257 nt
Filed under: uncultured bacterium
Lineage: Bacteria
Description: partial 16S ribosomal RNA
Rfam family: Bacterial small subunit ribosomal RNA
Source: RNAcentral
UACGGGGGGGGGGCAAGCGUUUGUUCGGAAUUACUGGGCGUAAAGGGUUUGUAGGUGGCUUGUUAAGUCAGACGUGAAAUCCCUCAGCUUAACUGGGGAACUGCGUCUGAGACUGGUGAGCUUGAGUGCAGGAGAGGAACGCGGAAUUCCAGGUGUAGCGGUGAAAUGCGUAGAUAUUGGGAGGAACACCAGUGGCGAAGGCGGUCCCCUGGGCCGGAACUGACGCUGAGGCGCGAAAGCGUGGGGGAGCAAACAGG